CUCCAGCUACGGGGAUAUGGUGCCCAAGACAAUUGCAGGGAAGAUCUUCGGCUCCAUCUGCUCACUAAGCGGGGUAUUGGUAAUAGCCCUGCCCGUUCCAGUCAUCGUUUCCAAC
This is a regulatory RNA element of Scleropages formosus (Asian bonytongue), 115 nucleotides long. It matches the Rfam family "Potassium channel RNA editing signal". Rfam says of the family: This family represents a group of sequences related to the human potassium channel Kv1.1 hairpin element which directs the efficient modification of an adenosine to inosine by an adenosine deaminase acting on RNA (ADAR). The record is from Rfam. NCBI's taxonomy places the organism in Eukaryota, Metazoa, Chordata, Actinopteri, Osteoglossiformes, Osteoglossidae.